GGCAGCAGCCGCGGUAACACCGGCAGCUCUAGUGGUAGCUGUUUUAUUGGGCCUAAAGCGUUCGUAGCCGGUUUAAUAAGUCUCUGGUGAAAUCCUAUAGCUUAACUGUGGGAAUUGCUGGAGAUACUAUUAGACUUGAGAUCGGGAGAGGUCAGAGGUACUCCUGGGGUAGGGGUGAAAUCCUGUAAUCCUAGGAGGACCACCUGUGGCGAAGGCGUCUGACUAGAACGAAUCUGACGGUGAGGAACGAAAGCUAGGGGCGCGAACCGGAUUAGAUACCCGGGUAGUCCUAGCCGUAAACUAUGCGGACUUGGUGUGAGGGUGGCUUUGAGCCGUCCUGGUGCCGAAGGGAAGCUGUUAAGUCCGCCGCCUGGGAAGUACGGUCGCAAGACUGAAACUUAAAGGAAUUGGCGGGGAGCACCACAACGCGUGGAGCCUGCGGUUUAAUUGGAUUCAACGCCGGAGAUCUCACCAGCGGCGACAGCAGUAUGAUGACCAGGUUGAUGACUUUGUUUGACAAGCUGAGAAGAGGUGCAUGG
Molecule: ribosomal RNA, 539 nt
Filed under: uncultured archaeon
Lineage: Archaea
Description: bacterial SSU rRNA
Rfam family: Archaeal small subunit ribosomal RNA
Source: RNAcentral